This 2403-nucleotide long non-coding RNA is filed under the name Neogale vison (American mink). RNAcentral's name for it is "Neovison vison (American mink) lncRNA (ENSNVIG00000009398.1)". The record is from RNAcentral. Lineage: Eukaryota; Metazoa; Chordata; Mammalia; Carnivora; Mustelidae.
ACGUGCUGGUGCUUCCCCUUCAGGACCUUCAGCUUAGCUAAGUGUGAAAAAAAAAAAAAAAGGGACACCAGCAUUUAAUAAUAAUAAUGAUGAUGAUGAUGAUGAUAAUACCAGUAAUAGUAAUCAUAAUAAAAAGAAAGUGUUGGCAGGUGGUCAGAGGGGCCUUGCCAGUCAGCUACCUUCUUGCUUGUGUUCCUGGUAUUUCUAAUAACAUUAACAAUGUAUUCUAGCCCUUUCUUGUGUUCCUGGUGUUUCUAAUAACAUUAACAAUGUACUGUAGCCGACAGAGCUGCAGGCCAGGAGCUAGGAGAGAAAGUAGGCAGCAACCUCUGAUUUGCCGCUUAAUGGUCGGCUUUGGGUAAACUACUCAAACUCUGAAAACUUAUAUUCCGCACCCCAUGCCUGCACAGUCUGAUGGCGGGGGUUCCCUUCCACCACUGAGAUUUUAGGGUCUGUGCCCUCCGCACUUACUUUGUCUUUUGCUCCGAGCAUCGGGCCCGAGAGGAUUUUCGGAAGAUUUCAUUCUCCCCUUCUUGGAUGGUUUGGCCCAGCAUCCAGCCAACCAGAGGAAGGAAUUGCCUGGGACUAAUUGAGGAUAUUUUUCCCCCCCAGGACAGGAAGAGGUGGGUCAGUAGGAGACUGGGAGGUGAAGGUGACUCAGCCUGUUUUAAGUUGGUCAUCCCUGAUGGAAAAAAAAAAAUAAGAUAGUGUCUUUGCUAGGAUGUGAGCGCUAACACUCAGGGGAGGUGGCUGUGUACUGUACCCAGCUGGUGGCAGGUUUGGGUGUUGGGAGUACGUGGGCUGUGUUCUCUCCUUUUCCACGAGGAGGCUAAGCCGGGAGGCAGCUGGGAGGUGCGAUCCACACACCUCUUCUUUCGCUCGCAGGCUGUGUUGUAAGUGGACUGACUUCCUUAGUCAGCCUGGAGGCCGCCCCAGGGAGCCGCGCCCACGCUCAGGCCCGUUGAAGCUGAUGGAGACUUGGCAUCCUGAAAUUUCGUCUGCAACUGUUCGGAAGUCCUACAGGAUCUCCCAGUAGCAUCAAUCAAGGCAGUCUCUCCACACUCCUGACCUCGUCGCUUGUAUUUGGGACCGUCCACGGAGCUGGAAAAAGCUUUUUCUGGAAUGCGCUAAUUCGGAUAGAGGCAUGUGGAGCAGGUCCUACAUCUAUCUACCUAUGUGAAAAGUCACAGUUAGAGCUGUGCACACAGGCGGAGGGGAAAGCUGAUCACUGGAGUGCUCUGGAGGCUACGAGAAAAUUCUUCAAGACCAAAUCCCCUUCUGCUGAAUUGAUUGAAACUUCUGCAGCUCUGUUCUCCAGAAGACUCACACGUACAGCUGUUUACGGGGAUGGAGACGCUGGUGGGUUACUGGAUCAUCUACCUUUGUCCAAGCCUCUGAGCUGAGCUGCCUCCUCCCUCACCCUCAUUGCCCGCACAUCGGCUUCCCUUUCCUCUCUGUUAUGUAAUCUUUAUGUGAGGGUUCUGGAACUUCUCCAGAAAGUACAUUUGAUGUGAGGCUGAGUGGCCUCUGACUCUUGAGAGGAAGCCAAAGACACAGAAAUGCAUUCAGGAGACUUUAGAGCAGAAGAGAAGAGUGUGCCCCGGAGACCGUCUCCUGGGAGAUGGUUGGAUGAGACUGGUUGGAAUGUACCACAGAUGGCUUGGACACUGGACAAGUGCAAAGCAGGUGCCUGGAUGGGAAUCCUUCGUGCAUUCUCCUCACCUGUAGAGCAAAGGGCACCAGCUCUGUGAUGUUCUUUCUAUGCCGGUGAUUCUCACCUUGAUCACAUAUUAAAAUCAUCAGUGGCACUUCAAAUGUCCAGACCAUUCCCCAUGCCAGAGUCUUUGGGGGUCAGGACCAUGGAUCAGUAUAUGUUUUAAGAUGUCCAGGUGAAUUCCAGGAUGCCAACCAGGUUGAGAACCAUGCAAUGUAAAUUCAUGAUUUAAUAUGUCAGGCAGUAUAUCAGAUGCUAUCACAGACUGAAGGUUUGUGUCUCCCUACCCCCAAAUUUAUAUGUUGAAAACCCAACCCCAGUGUGAUCCUAUUUGGAGGUGGGGGCUGUGGGAGAUGAUGGGGUCAUGAGGGAGGACAUUUUUUUGUUCCCUUUUCAAGUUUUUAUUUAAAUUCUAGUUCAUUUAUAUGUAGUAUAAUAUUAAUUUCAGGAGUAAAACUUAGUUCAUCACUUACUUAUAGCACAUAGGGCUCAUCGCAAGUGUCCUCCUUGUACCCGUCUCUCAUCUAGCCCAUCCCCCACUCCCCUCCCCUCCAGCAACUGUGGUGUGUUCCCUCUAGUUAAGAGUCUCUUAUGGUUUCCCCCUCUCUCGUUUAUUUCCCUAUCCCUAUGUCCAUCUGUUUUGUUUCUUAAAUUCUACAUAUGAGUGAAAUCAUAUGGUAUUUGUCUUU